UUUCUAACUUUCCCUGUUCUCAUUCUUAUGUUAUAGGAGUGCAUCGGUGUAGGGUUGGAUUUAGACCCAGCAUGACUGACCUUUGUCAGCUAGGUUUUCAGCCUAGAGUCUUGACUUGGUCCCGGUAAUCGAUUCAGAUCAUCUAGGGUCAAAUCAGGUAGUUCAAAAACACUGGAUCCAGGGCUAAUGAACAUAGUUGAAUUCUGAUCAAGGGAAAAGCUCAGCAUGUAUGAUAGUAGGAAAACCUACAGCUUAAUGAACACUAAAAAGACUGCUAAGGUGCAAUUAUAGGAGGAUCUCUGGUUUGUUCUCCCUUCCUGGAGUGUGUCUCUGUACCUUCCUUUCAUUUUCUCAAUGAAAGUGGGUUAGGCUGCCUUACUCUUUCCCUCAAAACAGAUAGGAAGGUCCAGAAUUGAUCAUUGAAAUUCCAAUGGAUGGAGACAGUAGAUUUUAGGCAUUGAGUAAUUCUCUAUAUGUCAAUCAUGCUUCUUAUCUUGCUUAAAAGAAUCCUCUUGAGGAAUUGAAAACUUCCUGAAUUGCUUGAUCCAUGACCUCUCUUACCACACCUGCAUCAUCCGUAUGCUCCUUAAAAGGGCAACUAUCAAACCCCCUCUUUCAGCAUACUUCAUCAUCUCAUUUGCUUGAAAAGUCUGCUCCAUCAAAAUGUUGAACUCUCAUCUCAAGCCAUCUCUCCAAUAUCACUACUAACUCAAUAUCAUGACCCUCCAUAUCAAAAAUGCAUCUGUUUCCAAGCAUUUUAUAUAAAAGAAUGAUAGAAAACAACUAUCUUAUCUAAACCAACAAGGAAGCCAUUUAAAAAGAGGAGGAUGGGA
RNAcentral lists this long non-coding RNA (833 nucleotides) under Phoenix dactylifera (date palm). RNAcentral describes it as "long non-coding RNA (PDAC_LNC017786)". Lineage: Eukaryota; Viridiplantae; Streptophyta; Magnoliopsida; Arecales; Arecaceae. The record is from RNAcentral.